GACUGAUCUGGNCUCAGUUCCAUGGAAAGGGGCNCCAGAGAGGGUNAAGACCCNGUUNGGCCCGGACCCUGCUGCACCACGAAGCGCAGUCNGCAGGUUGGUUUGUUNGUGAAUGCAGCCCUAAUUGGGUGGUAAAUNUCGUCCAAGGCUAAAUACGGGUGAGAGACCGAUAGCGAACAAGUACCGAGAGGGAAAGAUGAAAAGGACUUUGAAAAGAGAGUUAAAGAGUGCUUGAAAUUGCNGAGAGGGAAGUGGAUGGAGGCCGGCGAUGCNCCCCGGUCAGAUGCGGAAUGGCGUGAGCCNGUCCGCCGCUCGGCUCGAGGGGNNUGCCAGCANGGGCCAUUGUGGCAGCACAAGCGCGGCNUUUUGGUCNCACUGUACCUCCGUCAUGGNGGUNGAGGAGCGAAGCGCGCACCUAUGGUAGGCCUUCGGGCACCUGCGCGCUNGUGGCGNUGGCCAGCGGGCUUUCCAUUCGACCCGUCUUGAAACACAGACCAAGGAGUCUAACAUGUGUGCGAGUUGGCGGNUUGGNAANCCUUCGAGGCGCAAGGAANNUGACUGGCGAAAUCCCCUCUCGGGGGGUGCACCGCCNACCCACCUUGAUCUUUUNUGAAGGGUUCGAGUGCGAGCACACCUGUUGGGACUCGAAAGAUGGUGAACUAUGCCUUAGCAGGGCGAAGCCAGAGGAAACUCUNGUGGAGGCCCGCAGCGAUACUGACGUGCAAAUCAUUCGUCUGACUUGGGUAUAGGGGCGAAAGACUAAUCGAACNNUCUAGUAGCUGGUUUCCUCUGAAGUUUCCCUCAAGAUAGCUNGAGCUCAUGUGCGAGUUUUAUCGGGUAAAGCAAAUGAUUAGAGGCAUCGGGGGCGUAACGCCCUCGACCUAUUCUCAAACUUUAAAUAGGUAAGGCGGNGCGGCUGCUCCNUUGAGCUGCGCCACGGAAUCANGAGCUCCAAGUGGGCCAUUUUUGGUAAGCAGAACUGGCGAUGCGGGAUGAACCGAAAGCNGAGUUACGGUGCCAAAUUGCGCGNNUAACCCAGAUCCCACAAAGGGCU
RNAcentral lists this ribosomal RNA (1054 nucleotides) under Metasequoia glyptostroboides. RNAcentral's name for it is "partial 26S ribosomal RNA". It matches the Rfam family "Eukaryotic large subunit ribosomal RNA", at positions 169 to 1223 of the family's 3401-position model. Lineage: Eukaryota; Viridiplantae; Streptophyta; Pinopsida; Cupressales; Cupressaceae. The record is from RNAcentral.